Molecule: ribosomal RNA, 406 nt
Filed under: uncultured bacterium
Lineage: Bacteria
Description: partial 16S ribosomal RNA
Rfam family: Bacterial small subunit ribosomal RNA
Source: RNAcentral
AUUGAACGCUGGCGGCAGGCCUAACACAUGCAAGUCGAACGAGUGGCGGACGGGUGAGUAAUGUCUGGGAAACUGCCCGAUGGAGGGGGAUAACUACUGGAAACGGUAGCUAAUACCGCAUACCAUCGGAUGAGCCCAUAUGGGAUUAGCUAGUAGGUGGGGUAACGGCUCACCUAGGCGACGAUCCCUAGCUGGUCUGAGAGGAUGACCAGCCACACUGGAAAUGAGACACGGUCCAGACUCCUACGGGAGGCAGCAUUGGGGAAGAUUGCACAAUGGGCGCAAGCCUGAUGCAGCCAUGCCGCUUGUAUGAAGAAGGCCUUAGGGUUGUAAAGUACUUUCAGCGAGGAGGCGUUACUCGCAGAAGAAGCACCGGCUAACUCCGUGCCAGCAGCCGCGGUAAUUC